RNAcentral lists this transfer RNA (75 nucleotides) under Thermaerobacter marianensis DSM 12885. Its description in RNAcentral is "tRNA-Val". It matches the Rfam family "tRNA". From Rfam's summary of the family: Transfer RNA (tRNA) molecules are approximately 80 nucleotides in length. Lineage: Bacteria; Bacillati; Bacillota; Clostridia; Eubacteriales; Clostridiales Family XVII. Incertae Sedis. The record is from RNAcentral.
GGGCGAAUAGCUCAGCGGCAGAGCACUCGCCUUACAAGCGAGGGGUCCCAGGUUCGAUUCCUGGUUCGCCCACCG